CCCUCUUGUCUUUGUCUGUUCAUUGCUUCUGUUCCUGGUUCUGUCUCUGUGAUGCCCCUCGUCGAGUGUGUCUGCAUUGUGGUGAACAUUAAUAUUGGGACCAUUAAUAUUAAUGGUGCAUGCACUGAUGCAAAGAGAGCCUCCCUGUUCAAACUGUGUGAACUGAAGAACCUGGAUGUGGUGUUUGUCCAAGAGACUCACAGUAGCCUUUUUUAGAUAGAAAAGGCGGCACAUUUGCUCCAAGGCUGGCGGUUGUGAGCCCCCUGUUCUGAUGACCCGUUCCCCACCCUCACCAUUUGCCCCAGUUCAGACCAACAGUGUGAGGUGAGCCUGAAGGAGGCCAAGAGCAAGGCACUGUCUGCUCUGAUGGUGAAGUGUCUGAACAGACAGAGGCUGCAGCAUUGGUCCCAGCUACCAUGGUGAGCUCAACUGGCCUUGGGCGAGGAGGUCCAGCCUGAAUGGAGGAGUUUCUACAAACCUCCACUCUCCAAGAGGGUGGCGGACCUCCAGUGGAGACUCCUGCAUGGGAUUUUAGCUGUAAAUGCUUUUAUAUCUGCCCUGAUCUCUGCUGUCCCAAACACCUGUCCUUUUUGCGCGGCAGUAGAAACUGUAUUUCACUGUUUUGCAGAGUGUCCUCGUCUCAUACCUCUCUUCUCCAUGUUGGACUAUUUGUUCAGGGAGGCAGGAGAGGUUUUCUCUCUCAGAAUCUUCAUUCUUGGCUUUCGAUAUAAAAAUCUCAAAAGGAUAAAUGCCAAAUGAUGAACUUUAUUCUGGGUUAAUCAAAGAUGGCUAUGUACGUGUGUAGGAAGAGGAAGGUGGAGGACAGUGUGGACUCUGACAUUGUGCUGUUGCCGAGCAGAAUGAUAAAAGUGAGGAUCUUGAUUGAUUUUAAUUUUUACCUGGAGCGUUUCACAAUGACAAGGACUCAUGGUGGUGUACUGUGCUCUGUGCAGGAGAAUGGACUCAGAUCAGCUGGUCUGAUCUAUUUGUUUCAGAUUUUAUUCAAAUUUAUUUUUCUGAUGUGAACCGAUAUGACUCACACAGAUUUAAUAAAGAUGUGUUGAAAAAUCAAAA
Acanthopagrus latus (yellowfin seabream) is the source of this 1074-nucleotide long non-coding RNA. RefSeq lists it as uncharacterized. Lineage: Eukaryota; Metazoa; Chordata; Actinopteri; Spariformes; Sparidae. The record is from RefSeq and is a predicted model, not a curated record. The transcript is spliced from 3 exons.